RNAcentral lists this unclassified non-coding RNA (330 nucleotides) under soil metagenome. Its description in RNAcentral is "partial contains 5.8S ribosomal RNA, internal transcribed spacer 2, and large subunit ribosomal RNA". The stretch from base 1 to 120 matches the Rfam family "5.8S ribosomal RNA", at positions 35 to 154 of the family's 154-position model. The record is from RNAcentral.
GAUGAAGAACGUAGCGAAAUGCGAUAAGUAAUGUGAAUUGCAGAAUUCAGUGAAUCAUCGAAUCUUUGAACGCGCAUUGCGGCCCUUGGUAUUCCGAGGGGCAUGCCUGUUCGAGCGUCAUUUCAACCCUCAAGCACAGCUUGGUCUUGGGCUUCGCCGCUAACCCGGCGGGUCUUAAAAUCAGUGGCGGUGCCGUCGGGCCCUGAGCGCAGUAAUCUCUCUCGCUAUAGGGUCCCGGCGGAUGCUGGCCAGUAACCCCCAAUUUUCUAUGGUUGACCUCGGAUCAGGUAGGGAUACCCGCUGAACUUAAGCAUAUCAAUAAGCGGAGGA